This 274-nucleotide ribosomal RNA is filed under the name uncultured bacterium. RNAcentral's name for it is "partial 16S ribosomal RNA". It matches the Rfam family "Bacterial small subunit ribosomal RNA", at positions 523 to 796 of the family's 1533-position model. The record is from RNAcentral.
AGACGAGGGGCCCGAGCGUUAAUCGGAAUUACUGGGCUUAAAGGGUGCGCAGGCGGGCGCGAAGGUGUCUCGUGAAAUACCCCGGCUCAACCGGGGAACUGCGGGGCAAACCACGCGCCUUGAGGCAGGUAGAGGCCGUCGGAACGCUAGGUGGAGCGGUGAAAUGCGUAGAUAUCUAGCGGAACGCCAAAGGAGAAGUCAGACUGCUGGGCCUGUCCUGACGCUCAGGCACGAAAGCGUGGGGAGCGAACGGGAUUAGAAACCCGGGUAGUCC